CGUGCCUCUCGCAUGCUGUUAAAUACUUAAGUUGAUGAUGAAUGUCCAUGUUUUCCUGAGCCAAUGAAAGGAUCGCAGCGCUCCCCAACGCACCCAGCCUGAGGCUGGGCACCUGGUAAUUGUGCAACCCACGCUUACUGAGUUGAAAUGAAUAGUUAAGCAAGGGUUAGACACAGAAAACUAAAACCGGGUGAGAGCUGAGUUAUGCAAACCACAGGUUUAUCGGUACGAUAUUAAGUUUCUUCACGUGGCUACCAAGGGACUUCCUCCCUGCCUGCAUCUCCAGCGUGGAUCCCUAAGCCAGAGAACUGAUUGUCUCCGUUAAGCCGUGUGUUCCCAUUGGAGCAGAGCUGUCAGUCCAGGCCGUGCCACAGGCUGCUGGUCAACCUGUGGGGAGGACCAGACAUGCGAGAAGAGGGACCUUGCUAUGUCCCCAGCUCACAAAAGAGUCCUGAUCACAUGGUGGAUUUGUGAUAAAUACUUGUUGGGUAAAUAAA
Long non-coding RNA from Eptesicus fuscus (big brown bat), 497 nucleotides. RefSeq lists it as uncharacterized. The record is from RefSeq and is a predicted model, not a curated record. Lineage: Eukaryota; Metazoa; Chordata; Mammalia; Chiroptera; Vespertilionidae. The transcript has 3 exons.